AUUGAACGCUGGCGGCAGGCCUAACACAUGCAAGUCGAGCGAGCGGCGGACGGGUGAGUAAUGCCUGGGAAUUGCCCAGUCGAGGGGGAUAACAGUUGGAAACGACUGCUAAUACCGCAUACGAUUGGAUUGCCCAGGUGGGAUUAGCUAGUUGGUGAGGUAAUGGCUCACCAAGGCGACGAUCCCUAGCUGGUCUGAGGGGAUGGUCAGCCAAAUGGGAACUGAGAAACGGUCAAAACUCCGAGGGGAGGCAGCAGUGGGGAAAAUUGCACAAUGGGGGAAACCCUGAGGAAGACAUGCCGCGUGUGUGAAGAAGGCCUUCGGGUGGUAAAGCACUUUCAUCGAGGAGGCGUUACUCGCAGAAGAAGCACCGGCUAACUCCGUGCCAGCCGCCGCGGUAAUAC
RNAcentral lists this ribosomal RNA (404 nucleotides) under uncultured bacterium. Its description in RNAcentral is "partial 16S ribosomal RNA". It matches the Rfam family "Bacterial small subunit ribosomal RNA", at positions 29 to 526 of the family's 1533-position model. The record is from RNAcentral.